This 829-nucleotide small RNA is filed under the name Pan troglodytes (chimpanzee). RNAcentral's name for it is "retained intron". Lineage: Eukaryota; Metazoa; Chordata; Mammalia; Primates; Hominidae. The record is from RNAcentral.
GUUGAAUUGGCAGCUCUACUUAUUGAAAGGGGAGCAAAUCUUGAAGAAGUUAAUGAUGAAGGAUACACUCCCUUGAUGGAAGCUGCCCGGGAAGGACAUGAAGAAAUGGUGGCACUACUCUUAGCACAAGGAGCAAAUAUAAAUGCCCAGACAGAAGAAACUCAAGAAACUGCUCUUACUUUGGCUUGCUGUGGAGGAUUUUCUGAAGUUGCAGACUUUCUUAUUAAGGCAGGGGCUGAUAUAGAACUUGGCUGCUCCACACCUCUGAUGGAGGCAUCUCAGGAGGGACACCUGGAAUUGGUUAAAUAUUUGCUGGCUUCUGGCGCUAAUGUGCAUGCUACAACAGCAACAGGAGACACAGCCUUAACCUAUGCUUGUGAAAAUGGACAUACGGAUGUUGCAGAUGUUUUACUUCAAGCAGGGGCUGAUUUAGUAAGAUAUUUUUAAUUUCAAAUAUUUUUGCGUUAAUGUUACUAUCCAUUUAUACUUAACAUUUAGAAAACACUAAAGAUCAAUGGUUUGCAUACUUUGUAUACAGUAACUUAAAAAAGCUUGGCUACCUGUUCUAGUUGUUGUAUGUAUUAAAUGUAUUUGAAAAUACUUAGUGUUGAACAGGGCAUACUGUUUCUUUUCCUAGGUAAAACUACUAGUUUUUUUCUUCCUUUCACUCCACCCCCAUUUGACAUUCCUGUGCUUUUUAAACUGCCCUCUGUUAGAUAUAUCAUAAAUUCAAUGAUGUGUUCACAGAAUAGAGUAACAAGUCAAGUCACUUUGAGUGAUUUAUUAUUAUUUUAAUUGACACAUGAUAAUUGAACAUAUUAAUGGGGUA